This 253-nucleotide ribosomal RNA is filed under the name uncultured bacterium. RNAcentral's name for it is "partial 16S ribosomal RNA". It matches the Rfam family "Bacterial small subunit ribosomal RNA", at positions 524 to 776 of the family's 1533-position model. The record is from RNAcentral.
UACGAAGGGGGCGAGCGUUGUUCGGAUUUACUGGGCGGAAAGGGCGCGCAGGCGGCUCAUUUUGUCAGGCGUGAAAGCCCCGGGCUUAACCUGGGAACUGCGUUUGAUACGGAUGGGCUAGAGUUCGGUAGGGGAGACUGGAAUUCCUGGUGUAGCGGUGAAAUGCGCAGAUAUCAGGAGGAACACCGAUGGCGAAGGCAGGUCUCUGGGCCGAUACUGACGCUGAGGAGCGAAAGCGUGGGGAGCGAACAGG